UCAGUGGCGAACGGGUGAGUAACACGUGAGCAAUCUGCCCUUGACUCUGGGAUAAGCGUUGGAAACGACGUCUAAUACCGGAUACGAGCUGUGAAGGCAUCUUCAACAGCUGGAAAGAAUUUCGGUCAAGGAUGAGCUCGCGGCCUAUCAGCUAGUUGGUGAGGUAAUGGCUCACCAAGGCGUCGACGGGUAGCCGGCCUGAGAGGGUGACCGGCCACACUGGGACUGAGACACGGCCCAGACUCCUACGGGAGGCAGCAGUGGGGAAUAUUGCACAAUGGGCGCAAGCCUGAUGCAGCAACGCCGCGUGAGGGACGACGGCCUUCGGGUUGUAAACCUCUUUUAGCAGGGAAGAAGCGAAAGUGACGGUACCUGCAGAAAAAGCACCGGCUAACUACGUGCCAGCAGCCGCGGUAAUACGUAGGGUGCAAGCGUUAUCCGGAAUUAUUGGGCGUAAAGAGCUCGUAGGCGGUUUGUCACGUCUGCUGUGAAAACUGGAGGCUCAACCUCCAGCCUGCAGUGGGUACGGGCAGACUAGAGUGCGGUAGGGGAGAUUGGAAUUCCUGGUGUAGCGGUGGAAUGCGCAGAUAUCAGGAGGAACACCGAUGGCGAAGGCAGAUCUCUGGGCCGUAACUGACGCUGAGGAGCGAAAGGGUGGGGAGCAAACAGGCUUAGAUACCCUGGUAGUCCACCCCGUAAACGUUGGGAACUAGUUGUGGGGUCCAUUCCACGGAUUCCGUGACGCAGCUAACGCAUUAAGUUCCCCGCCUGGGGAGUACGGCCGCAAGGCUAAAACUCAAAGGAAUUGACGGGGACCCGCACAAGCGGCGGAGCAUGCGGAUUAAUUCGAUGCAACGCGAAGAACCUUACCAAGGCUUGACAUAUACGAGAACGGGCUAGAAAUAGUCAACUCUUUGGACACUCGUAAACAGGUGGUGCAUGGUUGUCGUC
This 951-nucleotide ribosomal RNA is filed under the name Microbacterium pygmaeum. RNAcentral describes it as "bacterial SSU rRNA". It matches the Rfam family "Bacterial small subunit ribosomal RNA", at positions 92 to 1056 of the family's 1533-position model. The record is from RNAcentral. Lineage: Bacteria; Bacillati; Actinomycetota; Actinomycetes; Micrococcales; Microbacteriaceae.